GGACCCAUAGCUCAGUGGUUAGAGCAGUCGGCUCAUAACCGAUUGGUCGCUGGUUCGAGUCCAGCUGGGUCCACCA
This 76-nucleotide transfer RNA is filed under the name Candidatus Altimarinota bacterium. RNAcentral describes it as "tRNA-Ile". It matches the Rfam family "tRNA". Rfam says of the family: Transfer RNA (tRNA) molecules are approximately 80 nucleotides in length. Their secondary structure includes four short double-helical elements and three loops (D, anti-codon, and T loops). Further hydrogen bonds mediate the characteristic L-shaped molecular structure. tRNAs have two regions of fundamental functional importance: the anti-codon, which is responsible for specific mRNA codon recognition, and the 3' end, to which the tRNAs corresponding amino acid is attached (by aminoacyl-tRNA synthetases). tRNAs cope with the degeneracy of the genetic code in two manners: having more than one tRNA (with a specific anti-codon) for a particular amino acid; and 'wobble' base-pairing, i.e. permitting non-standard base-pairing at the 3rd anti-codon position. The record is from RNAcentral. Lineage: Bacteria; Candidatus Altimarinota.